UGGGGAAUAUUGGGCAAUGGGCGAAAGCCUGACCCAGCAACGCCGCGUGAGGGAAGAAGGUUUUCGGAUUGUAAACCUCUGUCCUAAGUGACGAAGGAAGUGACGGUAGCUUAGGAGGAAGCCCCGGCUAACUACGUGCCAGCAGCCGCGGUAAUACGUAGGGGGCGAGCGUUGUCCGGAAUGACUGGGCGUAAAGGGCGUGUAGGCGGCUUUUUAAGUCUGGAGUGAAAGUCCUGCUUUCAAGGUGGGAAUUGCUUUGGAUACUGGAGAGCUUGAGUGCGGAAGAGGUAAGUGGAAUUCCCAGUGUAGCGGUGAAAUGCGUAGAGAUUGGGAGGAACACCAGUGGCGAAGGCGACUUACUGGGCCGUAACUGACGCUGAGGCGCGAAAGCGUGGGGAGCGAACAGGAUUAGAUACCC
This 418-nucleotide ribosomal RNA is filed under the name uncultured bacterium. RNAcentral describes it as "bacterial SSU rRNA". It matches the Rfam family "Bacterial small subunit ribosomal RNA", at positions 355 to 787 of the family's 1533-position model. The record is from RNAcentral.